This 468-nucleotide ribosomal RNA is filed under the name uncultured bacterium. RNAcentral describes it as "partial 16S ribosomal RNA". It matches the Rfam family "Bacterial small subunit ribosomal RNA", at positions 28 to 507 of the family's 1533-position model. The record is from RNAcentral.
GACGAACGCUGGCGGCGUGCUUAACACAUGCAAGUCGAACGGAAAGGCCCUGCUUUUGUGGGGUGCUCGAGUGGCGAACGGGUGAGUAACACGUGAGUAACCUGCCCUUGACUUUGGGAUAACUUCAGGAAACUGGGGCUAAUACCGGAUAGGAGCUCCUGCUGCGUGGUGGGGGUUGGAAAGUUUCGGCGGGUGGGGAUGGACGCGCGGCUUAUCAGCUUGGUGGUGGGGUAGUGGCUUACCAAGGCUUUGGCGGGUAGCCGGCCUGAGAGGGUGACCGGCCACAUUGGGACUGAGAUACGGCCCAGACUCCUACGGGAGGCAGCAGUGGGGAAUAUUGCACAAUGGGCGGAAGCCUGAUGCAGCAACGCCGCGUGCGGGAUGACGGCCUUCGGGUUGUAAACCGCUUUCGCCUGUGACGAAGCGUGAGUGACGGUAAUGGGUAAAGAAGCACCGGCUAACUACGUG